Molecule: ribosomal RNA, 1984 nt
Filed under: human gut metagenome
Description: bacterial LSU rRNA
Rfam family: Bacterial large subunit ribosomal RNA
Source: RNAcentral
UUAAGAUACUAAGAGCAUACGGUGGAUGCCUUGGCGAUAUCUGCCGACGAAGGACGUGACAAGCUGCGAAAAGCUGCGGAGAGAUGCAAAUAAUCGGCGACCCGCAGACAUCCGAAUGGAGCAAUCCGGCUGUGAUGAUGCACAGCCAUCCAUGCCCAAGAGCAUGAGAAGGGAACCGGGCGAACUGAAACAUCUAAGUAACCCGAGGAAAAGAAAUCAAACGAGAUACCCCAAGUAGCGGCGAGCGAACAGGGAAGAAGCCCAAACCGGUGAAGGAAACUUUACCGGGGUUGAGGACCAUCAGAACCGCGAAGAACUUUAGCCGAAACUGUUGGGAAACAGUGCCAAAGACAGUGAAAGCCUGGUAGGCGAAAAAGAGAAACGCGGAGAUGGCACCAGAGUACCGCGGGACACGAGAAAUCCCGUGGGAAGCAGGGGGGACCACCCUCCAAGGCAAAACACAGAUAUCGACCGAUAGCGCAUAGUACCAUGAGGGAAAGGUGAAAAGCACCCCGGGAGGGGAAUGAAAGAGAACCUGAAACCGUAUGUUUACAAGCAGUCGGAGACCGCUUAAUAAUAAGGUCGACGGCGUGCCUAUUGAAGAAUGAACCGGCGAGUUACGAAGCCUGGCAAGGUUAAGCAGGAAAUGCGGAGCCGAAGCGAAAGCGAGUCUUAAGAGGGCGCAAGUCAGGAAGCGUAGACCCGAAACCACAGUGAUCUACCCAUGUCCAGGUUGAAACACAGGUAAAAAUGUGUGGAGGACCGAACCUAUAUCCGUUGAAAAGGGUUAGGAUGAGGUGUGGGUAGGGGUGAAAUUCCAAUCGAACGUGGAGAUAGCUGGUUCUCCCCGAAAUAGCUUUAGGGCUAGCCUCAGGGAAAAGAUUGCAGGCGGUAGAGCACUGAUCAGGAGAGGGACCUACCCGGUUACCAAACCCAGUCAAACUCCGAAUGGCUGCAAUCAUACCUGGGAGUCAGACUGCGACUAAUAAGGGCCGUAGUCAAAAGGGAAACAGCCCAGACCAUCAGCUAAGGUCCCCAAUGCCGUGCUAAGUGGCGAAGGAUGUGGCAUUUCAUAAACAACCAGGAUGUUGGCUCAGAAGCAGCCACCAUUUAAAGAGUGCGUAAUAGCUCACUGGUCGAGAGACGCUGCGCCGAAAAUGUCCGGGGCUCAAGCACGGAACCGAAGCUAUGGCAUGAUAGCAAUAUCAUGGGUAGGGGAGCGUUCUUAUAAGGAAGAAGCAUGACCGGAAGGACAUGUGGACGAAUAAGAAGUGAGAAUGCCGGUAUGAGUAUCGAAAAGAAAGGUGAGAAUCCUUUCCACCGAAAGCCCGAGGGUUCCUGAGCAACGAUCGUCGACUCAGGGUAAGUCGGGACCUAAGCCGAGGCGAGAAGCGUAGGCGAUGGACAACAGGUUGAAAUUCCUGUACCGGAUCAAGUCGAUUGAGCGAAGGAGCGACGCAGGAGGGCACAUGAUCGCGCGGCUGGAAGAGCGCGUCCAAGUGCGUAUGUUGCAGCAGAGGAAAACCCCUGCAGCUAAAAGCAGAGACAUGAUGGGGAGUUAAAGGAAACUUUGACGAACUCAUGAAUCCCACACUGCCAAGAAAAACUUCUAGCGAGACAAGAUCCGCCCGUACCGUAAACCGACACAGGUAGGCGGGGAGAGAAUCCUAAGGUGCGCGGGAAAACCCUCGUUAAGGAACUCGGCAAAUUGCAUCCGUAACCUAGGGAGAAGGAUGGCCCCCGGUCAGUGAAGAGCAGAAACGCUCAGAGCUAAAAGGGGCGGCAGAAAAGAGGCCCAAGCAACUGUUUACCAAAAACACAGGUGCCUGCGAAAGCGAAAGCUGAAGUAUAGGUGCUGACGCCUGCCCGGUGCCGGAAGGUUAAGGAGAGAAGUUAGCGAAAGCGAAGCAUCGAACUGAAGCCCCGGUGAACGGCGGCCGUAACUAUAACGGUCCUAAGGUAGCGAAAUUCCUUGUCGGGUAAG